RNAcentral lists this long non-coding RNA (1086 nucleotides) under Equus asinus (donkey). Its description in RNAcentral is "lncRNA (ENSEASG00005029805.1)". Lineage: Eukaryota; Metazoa; Chordata; Mammalia; Perissodactyla; Equidae. The record is from RNAcentral.
UUAUAGUUAAUUAUUUUCUUAUAGUUCUGCCCAUGAGUAUAAACUUCACAAAGGCAGUAAAUCAUCGUAUUUUUGUAUGCCUUAUAACUCCUGGCUUCCGUGUUAUGUUUCCAUAUAGCAGGUGUUUAGAAGUAUCACACCGUUCAGCUGACUCGACUAUUGCCUUAUCCAUGGAUGCACAGUGAAUAUUUGUUCAUAGAAAUCAGUGUUGUAGACUUUCACUGUGGUCAUGGCAAAAAGAAAUUUGAUUUCUUCAAAGAGACGAAAAAGUGGCAUUGAGGAAAAGAGGCCUUUAUGUGGAAUGACUUCAGGAAAGCCAGAAAAUUAUAAAAGUAAUGCAAGCUUUUUGUACAAAAUUUGGAAUAUGCAGAAAGGUGGAAUGAAGAAACCAAAAAUUGCCCGUACCCUAUUGUGGCAGAGUGUAUUUUUCAAACGUGGCUGCAGCAGCAUCGCCCAUCUCACAUGCAUUCCUGCAGUGUGACCUUGCCACUCUCCCAUCAAGAGGUGGGGUCUGUUUCUCUACCCUUUUGAAUCUGAGUGGGCUCUGUGACUACUUUGACCAAUAGAAUAUGGUAAUACUGUGCCAGUUCUGCACAAAACCCUCUUGUGACCUGGUAGCUCACCGUGUAAGCAGUACAACUAUCCUAAGUCCACCACACUGUGAGAUUCACAAGCCACAUGGAGAGUUCCUGAAGGAUGAGAUACCACAUGGAGACUGAGUGAGGCCAGAGAAUACUGAGGCAUCAGACGUGCGAGUGAAGAAAGCCUUUUGGAGUGGAACCUCCCGCCCCAGCCGUCCCACCUGACGCCACAUGGAUCAGACAUGAACCAGCCAGCUGAGCCCUUCCAAAUUCCAGAGCAAAAUAAAUGUUUUUAAAGCCACUACCUUUUGGGGUAAUUACACAACACCACUGAAGCACCCAUCACCCCAAAAUAGUGAACAUUAUAUUGCUUUUUUUGUUAAAAAUUCGAAUAGCACAUAAAUUUAGAAAAUGUAGAGUGGAAAUGCAUCUUAAUAACAUCCCACAAAGGAGACAACCACUGUUCACAAUUUGAUCCAUAUUUUUCCAGUCUUUUUUUCUAAAC